GAAACUUGGUCAAAUUAAUUAGUCAAAUUUUUUUUUUCCUUUUAGGAUAUUUUUUGGUUCAUCUAUUUUAAAGAAAAAUUUCAAAAACUCCCAAGUGGUUUUGUAGUUUUCAUUUUGCUCCCAUGUGGUUUAAAAUGUAUCAAAUUGCUCCCCUGUGGUUUCGUUUUUAUCUUUUCGGUAGCUUUUUCGUUAAUAUUUUAUUAAAUUAUAUACAAAAAAACUUCAUAUACCUAUUUAGAUUUAUCAAAUAUUCACUUUAGUACCCUCUAAAUUAAAUUUAUCACUGAUUUAAGAAAAAAAAUUAUAAAAUUGAUAAAAAAAAAAGAAAAAAGAAACCACAGGGGGGCAAAUUAAUACAUUUUAAACCACAGGGGAGGAAAGUGAGAAACUACGAAACCACAGGGAAUUUUUUUUGAAGUUUUUCCCUAUUUUAAACUAUAAAAUUAGAAUAAAAUUUAUUAAUUUUCAUAAUUAUCGUUUAUUUUAUAAAAAUCUUCUUAUUCUACUUCGGAAUGGGAAUAUGACCAAAUUCAUUUAUUGCUCAAUUAAGCCUUAAAUCCCAAAUUGGUCCGAUUCAAAAUAAACUAUUGAAAAUCUUAUUUCACCAAUAUCUAUCUCCUCUUUUUUAUCAUUUUUCUCUCGUUUAAUCAAAUCAUCUCUCAAAAAUUACAAAUAUUCAUUUUGAAUUCCAUUCCAACAAUGAACCAAACAUGUUUAGGAUGAUUCGUCAUUCCAUUUUUUAUUCCAAAAUGAUUCAAUUUUAUUUUGAAUUCUUAUUCCAAUUAUGAACCAAACAUGCCCUUAAUGUAAUUAUUUUUUCCAACGAUGUUCAUCUAGUUAAAUUCACAAAAA
This 852-nucleotide long non-coding RNA is filed under the name Ananas comosus (pineapple). RNAcentral describes it as "long non-coding RNA (ACOM_LNC017469)". Lineage: Eukaryota; Viridiplantae; Streptophyta; Magnoliopsida; Poales; Bromeliaceae. The record is from RNAcentral.